GAGUUUGAUCCUGGCUCAGAUUGAACGCUGGCGGCAGGCCUAACACAUGCAAGUCGAGCGGUAACAGAGAGUAGCUUGCUACUCUGCUGACGAGCGGCGGACGGGUGAGUAAUGCUUGGGAAUGUACCUUAUGGUGGGGGACAACAGUUGGAAACGACUGCUAAUACCGCAUAAUGUCUUCGGACCAAGGCGGGGGACCUUCGGGCCUCGCGCCAUAAGAUCAGCCCAAGUGGGAUUAGCUAGUUGGUGAGGUAAUGGCUCACCAAGGCGACGAUCCCUAGCUGGUUUGAGAGGAUGAUCAGCCACACUGGGACUGAGACACGGCCAGACUCCUACGGGAGGCAGCAGUGGGGAAUAUUGCACAAUGGGCGCAAGCCUGAUGCAGCCAUGCCGCGUGUGUGAAGAAGGCCUUCGGGUUGUAAAGCACUUUCAGUAAGGAGGAAAGGUUGGAUGUUAAUAGCAUUCAGCUGUGACGUUACUUACAGAAGAAGCACCGGUAACUCCGUGCCAGCAGCCGCGGUAUACGGAGGGUGCGAGCGUUAAUCGGAAUUACUGGGCGUAAAGCGUACGCAGGCGGUUUGUUAAGCGAGAUGUGGAAAGCCCCGGGUCAACCUGGGAACUGGNUUUCGAACUGGGAACUAAGUGUGAUAAGGG
This 654-nucleotide ribosomal RNA is filed under the name uncultured bacterium. RNAcentral's name for it is "bacterial SSU rRNA". It matches the Rfam family "Bacterial small subunit ribosomal RNA", at positions 9 to 656 of the family's 1533-position model. The record is from RNAcentral.